UACGUAGGGGGCUAGCGUUGCUCGGAAUUACUGGGCGUAAAGGGAGCGUAGGCGGAUAGUUUAGUCAGAGGUGAAAGCCCAGGGCUCAACCUUGGAAUUGCCUUUGAUACUGGCUAUCUUGAGUAUGGGAGAGGUUAGCGGAACUCCGAGUGUAGAGGUGAAAUUCGUAGAUAUUCGGAAGAACACCAGUGGCGAAGGCGGCUAACUGGCCCAUUACUGACGCUGAGGCUCGAAAGCGUGGGGAGCAAACAGG
This 253-nucleotide ribosomal RNA is filed under the name uncultured bacterium. Its description in RNAcentral is "partial 16S ribosomal RNA". It matches the Rfam family "Bacterial small subunit ribosomal RNA", at positions 524 to 776 of the family's 1533-position model. The record is from RNAcentral.